RNAcentral lists this transfer RNA (73 nucleotides) under Chryseobacterium caseinilyticum. Its description in RNAcentral is "Chryseobacterium sp. GCR10 tRNA-OTHER". It matches the Rfam family "tRNA". Rfam says of the family: Transfer RNA (tRNA) molecules are approximately 80 nucleotides in length. Their secondary structure includes four short double-helical elements and three loops (D, anti-codon, and T loops). Lineage: Bacteria; Pseudomonadati; Bacteroidota; Flavobacteriia; Flavobacteriales; Weeksellaceae. The record is from RNAcentral.
GGGGAUGUAGCUCAGUCUGGUUAGAGCAAUGGCACGGGGUUCAUGGUCGCAGGUUCAACUCCUGUCAUCUCCA